AUAUUAUAGCACUCUUCAAACACCCGUCGUCAUAUUAUAAAUUUAUUAUAGGAAUUUUAACAAAGACGCUAUUGAAACUUAUAUAAAAUAAUAAAAAAAAAUUAAGAAAUGAACCGCCUAAGUUUUCUUCCCUCGCCUUAGCUUAACAAAAACAAAAAAAGAAUCGCCGCCCAACUUUCUUUUCAAACCCUCAAAACCUAAGAACUUCAACUUCUCUCACAUGUAACUAUUCUCAAAUUGCAAACCUUGUUCGGCCAUCUGGGUGGAUUUUGCAUCUACUAUUUUGCAAUUUUAGAUCUUGUGGUAGGUUUUUUAAUUGCGUUAUGGAGUCGUGUUAAAUUGAUGAAUUCGGCAUUUGAACUUCAAUCAGGAAUUCAAGAACGACUAUUUAUCUCUCCUUCUCUGGAAUCGGAGUUUCAUCUCAUUUCAAAUUUUGAGGUGAACAAUGUUGUUGCUGAAGCAAAUAAUGGUGUGCCUUGGAUAGCAACUCUUUUAUAUCAGGGAUUCUUUAGAGUAGCAGUUGCUCUAAAAUUCUGCAUUUACUUUCGGCAAUUUUUUUUUCUGAGUUGUUAUGAGCUAAUGUUAUUCCGGACCGAUAUCUGCAAACCAUGAGCUUUUAGAUAAAUAAAAUUUACAUUUUUUACUUCUAUCAUGUACUCUUUGUUCUGUUAUGGACUCGCUUCUGCUGUGAACGUAUGCUGGGAAUUUCAUACAUCGCUAGUGCAAAGAACUCACAAAUUCACCCAUAACCUGAUAACAAUACACACACAAAUUAUCUCUGCCUUUCUUCUUAUUUAUACAAAGCUGAGUAUAUGACAUUUAAUGCUUUUCUUGUUUUCUAGCAGCAACGACAUUGUGUGCUCUCUUCUUGCUUCUCCUGUCCUGCUUCUACUGUCCUGAUGUUGUACUUUCUUGUUGUCUACUGAUGUGUCGCUAUGUCGAUUGGUCGGCUGCUCUUGUUGUUGGUUUCACCUAUGUCAAUUAGUACGGUUCAUGUCAGUUAGUUGCCUAACUAGUCAACAAAUACUAACUUAUCCGUUUGUUUGUCACACUCGUAACCUAUUAAUAAGAAUCCUUCCCUGCUAAGCAAUGACAUCCCAGAUGAACCUCUUGGUUUCUGAGUCCGUUUUUUCAAGGCAUCCAUCUCGGAUCCAUAUCUGAAACUUCAAUUUAUAAUAUAUCCGCAAGGCAUUAUCUG
Long non-coding RNA from Spinacia oleracea (spinach), 1198 nucleotides. RefSeq lists it as uncharacterized. The record is from RefSeq and is a predicted model, not a curated record. NCBI's taxonomy places the organism in Eukaryota, Viridiplantae, Streptophyta, Magnoliopsida, Caryophyllales, Amaranthaceae. The transcript has 3 exons.